GCUAUGGAGGGGGCUCCAGCUAUGGAGGGGGCUGUGGUCAGUCCUCUGGAGGCUGCUGCGGAGGAGGCUCCAGCUCUGGAGGAAGCUGUGGUCAGUCCUCUGGAGGCUGCUGCUGACCUUGAUCCUACCUCAAUUUCUCCCUGAGCUCCCUGAAUGGCAGAGGGGUCCUAGCAAAACUUGAACUUUGUUCUAGAAGUUCCCUCUACCCUAGUAUCCAGAAGCCCAACACCUCUCUCUAAAACCCAGUUUCUGACCUCCUUCCCCAUAUCUGUGGCUGCCCUGGGAAUCCCUAAGCACAGAUCCUAUGUCCCCUUGAAGCUCACGUUAUUGUAUUCUCAUGCUUGAAUUGAAAAAUAAAUACAGAAUCUGCUCACUAA
This is a long non-coding RNA of Pipistrellus kuhlii (Kuhl's pipistrelle), 377 nucleotides long. RefSeq lists it as uncharacterized. The record is from RefSeq and is a predicted model, not a curated record. The transcript is spliced from 2 exons. NCBI's taxonomy places the organism in Eukaryota, Metazoa, Chordata, Mammalia, Chiroptera, Vespertilionidae.